RNAcentral lists this long non-coding RNA (13145 nucleotides) under Capsicum annuum. Its description in RNAcentral is "long non-coding RNA (CANN_LNC015065)". Lineage: Eukaryota; Viridiplantae; Streptophyta; Magnoliopsida; Solanales; Solanaceae. The record is from RNAcentral.
GACCAUGGUCGCUUCGUGGAGUGUAUCGGCUAGUUUGACACUAUAAAAUGAAUAAACCAAACAAAACACACAACACAUAAGAAACAAGCAAUCAAAUAGUCAAAAGUCCGAAAUAGUGUCCAGUCCAUUUAUUACAGUCCAAAAUAAAAGAUACUGAAAUAAACCUACUCUAACCUACACUAGUCCUAAACUAUGCUCUACCCGAUGCCUCGGGCCUUGAUCACGAACGUCCUUCGCAUACAAGAUACUUCGGGGCAUACCCAGGUGAAUAAGUACAAAUGGCCUCGGGGCAUUCCCGGCUAAAUGAAUACAUUUACAAUUUCAAGCGACAAAGUGAAACAAUCUCAAGCACAAUCAUUCAAUCAUUCCACAAUCGUUAAUUUCUACAAUUUGCCUAUCCAACUUAGUAUUUGCCGACCCAUUUGACGGCCUAAUCAUGAUAUUGUCAUGUUAAACAACAUUCAAUGUCCAUUUCAAAUCAAUCAACGAUUCAAUGAAUUAAAUUAAUUAAUAUUCACCCUUUUUAUUAUUUUUUCAAUUCCCGACCCAACUUGAAUUCUAAGUAAUGGUUCGAACAUAACAAUUCACGAUUAAUAUUUUUUAACCAUCCAUAAUCAAUAUAAUAUAACAUUUAUCAUUCACAUCACGCAUAAAAUAAGAGAAAGCUGAGAUGAUAAAUAUCAAUCACACAUAAAAAUAUAGAAUUAACUAAGAAUAAGAAUUAAGAUUAAGAGAUGGACCUUAAAUUGGGGCUUUCGAGCUAUGAGUAUUAUUUGAUCACACUUUUGACUUCAAACCGAGCAGUUGACCGGAGCUCACGAACAGGACCUCAUCAGAACCUCAAAUUGGAAUAUGUGAAUCCGAAAUCUUCAAUCCAAACUUGAUUUGUAACUAAACCCACAAUCGUUUUUCUAAUUUAUUUUGGCGCUAGGCUGACUGAUUGUGUUGUUUCCCGACGAGAAUCAAAGAGAAUGGAGUUGUUCUUGUUUUCCGAUGGAUAUGGGUCGUUUCCAGCGAGGAUCUUGGUCACCGAUUUUAAUGGGUUUUUUGACUGGAUCUAGUUUGAGGAGUUUUCCUGCCAGACUCCGGUGAGCUUCACUAGCGAUUCAAGCAGUGAUGAAAGCUAUAAUUCCGACGAGAGUGUCACCGAAAAAUUAAGGACUGACCUAUUUUCUCUAAAUUUCUCACUGUCUCUCUCACCUGAUCUCCCCUCUCUCAUUUUCUCUCUCUAUCUUACUGGUUUUGUGCGUCAGGGUAUGUCUAUAAUAGUGUGUGGUACCAGUUGAUGUACGUGUGUAUUGUAUUAUGUGUGUAGAGAGUAUCUCCUUGUGAAUGUGUGCUUAAUCCAUGGAAAUAAAGGAGAUGUAUAUGUGUGUUCGUUUUUGUGUGUGUGAAUUUUGUUGAGAGAUAUAUUAUGUGUGAUUCCCUGAGAGUUAUGUGUGACUGCAACGCCCCAAGAGUACACCCUAGAUGCCACACGGUGCUAGAAACCACAAGUGAUCCCAGUCUAACUCAUGAUUGACAUACUAUUAAGCAACUAAAUUAUAACAUAAUAAAUAGCUAUUCUGCUUUGUGGAAAUAUAAUCAUGACAAAAUCUGAGAGAAAUUAUAUUACUAAUACACUUUUCUAUCUGAUAGAAACUGAGGAGAGAACUGAAAUUACAUGAUUGACUUUGACUGACAUCUAUGAAGCCUCUACUAUACUGAAUAUAGUAGAUGGGACAUGCCUCCAACUACCCCUAAUCAAUACAUAUGAAAAAUAAAUGAACUGUACAUGAACUAAAAUUGUCUGUAGUUUCUGAAAUAAGAGAACUCAUCACUUGUUGGCUGAAAAUUGCAACUGUCUGAUCAUGAUGUGCGGGAUACAAAUGGUACCUACAUUAUGAAAUAAUGUAGCCACACAGACAUAUAUGUGGAUCAACACUUCUAGAAUGUACUGUGUAUGCAGGGGUGAAUGCAAUAAGUAAAACAACUUUUAUACGUAAUCUUAGAACGUGCAUGCUAAGUGUAAGUAGACUCAAAAAUAGGCUGGAAUAAACUAAAAGCUGAAAUAUCUUAAAAGCAUGAGCAACAAACAUAAUCUAGUAAGCUGGUGAAUCUCUACACUUAGUUUAUGUAAAACUUUACUUUUUUAUAAUGUAAGUAGAACUGAAGCUGGGAUACGGUAAAAGAUGGAUACAUAAACCUAUAUAUUGAGUAGCUGAUAUAUGAAUAUGGACUGCUGAUACUUGUACACUGAAUAGAUAAUGACUGAAUACUGAUCACGUAAUACUGAACUAUAGUUAGUCUAAAUAACUGGGCUGAAAUUGUAGAGUACUAUGCUUAUGAGGUAAGGACUAUCAAAACAACAUGAGAUAACUGAGCAUGCAUGCGUGAAAACUGUAAUAUAUGAGAAUGAAAGAGUAAGUGUAUAUCUGUUAUGGUACUGAGAUAAAAGGACCAAGGUGUCAAGCCUAAACUGACGGGUGACCCCUGAGAGGUAGUCAAGCCUAAAUUGACGGGUGACUCCUCGAAUCCUACAUUGGAUACGUAGUUCUAGAAUACAGGGACCGCUACUAAUGACUCUGCCUAACUGAUGGGGAAGCCGCCAUCCCUGUACUCACUCGGUACUAAAUCCUACUCUCAACUGAACUGACUCGAGAUACUGAACUGUUCUUAGUUUAACUGAUUAUGAUAACUGACUGAACUGAUCAUGCUCAUGACAUGUCUGAAAACCAUUCUGAAAAUACUGAAACUAAGUAAACAACUAAGUUUUUGGGUAUUCAUAACCCCCAGGACUCGAUAGCAAUAGCGACAGGGAUAUACUAAAGCUUCGAAACCAUAAUAAGAAAGAAUUAUUUAAAGAAACCCAUCACUUGGAUAUUUUAUCAAACACAUGGAGAUUAGUACUUUAACAUAGGACAAUCCAUCAAACACACGGGGAUCAUGAACUAGAACAUAGUAAUAUCUCAAACAUGGGAGCAUAACAUGAUUGCAUAACUAAAAUCAUGAAUCGGGGAAUUUACAUGAAAUUAGUUUGAAAUUGGACAUGGGCGUAUCAUCAAAACAUAUAAAGAUCACAGCUUGAACGUAAGAAUGUCUUAAACAUGAGAGAACAAUAGAGUUACACGGCAAAAUUCAUAACUUGGGGAUUCAUCUUGAAAUUGAUUGAAAAUGAUAUGGGGAUUUCAUCAAAUAUGUGGAAGUCAUGAAUUUACAACAUGGGAAUAUUGCUAAACAUCAUGAAUUUAGGAUCUAUCAUGGGAUUUACUUGAAUAAAACAUGAGAAACUCAAAUUCAUAGCAUGAGGAAUUCAAAAUCUUGCAUAGAAUCAUACAUGGGCUGAAUUGAAACAAAAAUACCAUGAAAACAUGAACUUCAAUCUUUCUUGAACAUUCAAAAUACCAUAAUAAUGGAAAAUUCAUUCUUUACUUAAACGAAAAGGGUUUUGGGGUUCCAUAAGUGAAACAGGACCCAUGGAUGAACUCCUACAUACCUUAAAACUUUAAAUCUUGAAGAAGAAAUAAAAUCUUGGAAGUUUUCUUGAAUUGAGAAACUUGAUUCUUGAUGGUUCUUGAAGAGGAGAAUUGAAUAAUUUUCUUGGGAUUAGAUUAGGGUUUCUUGGAGAGAAAAGGGAAGGAGAAUGGGAAAAUUAUGCCCUAAAUGAUAUAUUAACUCGUGUAUAUACGACUUGUCUUGAGGAAAAAAAACUUAACUGUCCCUUAGAUAUUUAAAUUAGUGAUCGGAUCUCAAUUCUACACCUUACCGCGAUUCGGUACCAUCACGGCAGCUUACUGCCUCACACGAAAAAUGCUAUAACUUUUCACUCGAGUAUCAAAUUAAGACAAAAUUGGUAUCAUUGGAAAACUGAUUCAAUUAUCUACAAUUUGGUGGGUCUUUAGUUGAAAAAUUAUACAUACAUUAAAAGUUAUAUAUUUUUGAAGUUGACCUUUGUAGAAUCAAACCCCAAACUUUGGACUAAUGUAAGGUUCUUAGCUCAACUUAGCUCUAAGUGAUUUCUAGGAACAUUAUUCACCUAAUAAUCACUUCACACACUAGGAUAAACAUCAUGACAUAUGAAUUUUAAAUUAUGGAUCAAUAACAUGACAAAUACACCUUCAUCGCGAUGCAGUGGAAUCGCGUUGAGCUUCUGAAAUUCGUUAGUUAAAGGACGAGGGUGGUUUAGGGGAUUGACAUGAUCUGAGCUUAUUGCGUUGAUCCACUGGAAAUAGACGAGUGCAAUUUUACACCUUGGUGCGAUAUGGCGCCAUUGCGGUGCUUCACUGAAAAAAGAACAAGUGCGAUUUUGCACUUCACCGCGAUGCAGUGCGAUCAUAGUGAGCCACUAGAAAUAUAAUCCAAACACCAUUCAAACCUUUUCCGAAAAUUUUGAAACUUCCUUGAGACAUGCUCCUUGCACCCCUGAACAUGAAUCAACUAAAAAACCAUCAUCUCAAAGCCCGAAAGAUCCACUUAAAAAUCCACGAAGUUAAGGAGUCAAAUAUAUGACUAAGUCUCCAUCACAUAGUGAAAUUUUCAUGUUCUAAGAUUCUUAUGUAUGCACUUGGAGCUGAACUAAACUAAGGAUAAUACGAAGUAUUAUAGUAAGUGUGUGUAUAUAUUGGUGUAUUGUAGUGUUAUGUGUUCUGUUCUCUAUAUUCGAUGGUGAGGGUGUGUGUAUCAAUUAUGUGAGAGGCGUAUGUGUGGGUGUAUAAGAAUGAAGUUGUAUGAGAAACAUAAAUUGGGGUAGGGUGCACAUAGUAGGGGGUAUGUAGAGGUAGGGGGUAUAGGUUGUUAUUUUGUUCAGGGUGAGGUGUCCCAAGUUGUUAAGAAUUUAUUGGAUUUGUUAUUGUGUGAAACUUAUCACAUAGGUGAAGGUAUAUGCAUGGUAAGAUGGAGUAAAAAUGGUAAAAAAAGAUUUUGGGGAGGGACAAAAUUAUAUGUCUACAAAGAAGUAGACAAAAUUUUAACCCAACUAUUAUUUAAAAAAAAGGAUAGAGUACCACCGUGUUUUGAUUUAGGACAUCCUACCUACUAAAGUUAUGAGAGAAUCAAGUCACAGGUAUCUUAAAGGUCUAGAAGGAGAAGAACUAUACCUAGUAGGAGAGUCGAGUGAGAUGCCAUCGAGGUUCCGGUCAGCGGCUCUGUCAUUACAUCAAAAAUGAAAAUUACAAGUUAAAAACAUAAAUAAAAUUACAAAAGUCCUAUUUAUACAUCUUUUCUUGGCUCUUGACUUGCUAUUUCAUCACCUUAUUCUCCAGGCAGUUCCUGACUUGCAAUAUCCUUACUCUAUUCUCCGGGCGAGCUCCUGACUUACAAUUUCAUCACCUUGUUGCUUGGAUUUCAAUUUCUUCACUCUGUUCUCUAGGCGGGAUCCUGACUUGCCAUUUCUUCAAUAUGUUAACUUUCAAUUUCUUCACCUUGUUGCUUGACUUUCAACUUCUUCACCUUGUUGCUUGACAUUCCAUUUAUUCACCUUAUUCUCCUGGUAGGCUCUUGAAAUCACAUUAAAACUAUAAAGAAAAUUAUCUCAAACAAAGGUUAUGAUAGAAAUCUCACUUUUAAAAAAUAAAGUCUCAGUUUUCAAGAGAGUCUUAAAUGACGCUUUCAAUAACAUGAAUUGAAUUUUUUUCCCUAGUUUAUCAUCCAAAAACUUUUGCGAAUGUCAAAUCCAAUCGUAACUACUUGCAUGCUGCAAUGAUGAAUCAAGACUCUGACCAAGAAAUGCAUCUCUUGAGAGUAAAAUUAAAUGACCAAGACUAGGAAAUGCGUCUUCUAAGAAUUAAAGUGAGGAAUUCCGACUAGAAAGUGUAUCUUCUAGAGAUAAAAGUUUAAGUUAGGAAGUGUGUCACCUGACAAAUGAAAACUCACAAGGAAGUGCAUCUCUUAAGGGGUUGCUUCUAGGAGUGAAGGUUCAAUUUAGAAAGGGCAUCACCUGAUAAAAAAAAUCUGAAUUGCUCAGAUAAGGAGGUGCAUCUCCUAGGGAUUGCAUGGAAGAGACUAGAAAGUGCAUCUUCUAGGAGUAAAGGCUUAAGUGAGGAAAUGUGUCACCUAGAAAACCAAACUUGAACUACCCUGACAAGAAAGUGUGUCUCCUAAGGGUUAAGUGGAAUUACUCGACUAGAAAAUGCAAUUUCUAGGAGUAAAUGCUUAAGUUAGGAAGUGAACCACUUUACAAGGGAAACUCGAAUUACCUGACAAGAAAGUGUGUAUCCUACGGGUUAACUACUCAACUAAAAAGUACAUUUUCUAGGAGUAAAGACUUGAGUUAGAAAGUGAAUUACCUGGCAAGUGAAACUUAAAUACCUACCAAUGAAGUGUGUCUCCUAAGGGUCAAGUAGAAUGACUCGACUAGAAAGUGAAUUUUCUAGGAGUCAAGACUUAAGUUAGGAAGUGCAUCACCUAACAAGUAAAAUUUGAAUUACCUUACAAAUGCCACUUGAAUUAACUAAGAAAAUGCGUCUCCUUACAAAUACUACUUAAUUUAUCCAGAGAAGAAAAUAUGUCCCCUAAAUAUUAAAUGGAAGGACUCAACUAGAAAGUGUGACUUCUAGGAGUGCAGGUUCAAUUUAGAAAGUGCAUCACCUAAUAAAUGAACCUGAAUUACCCGGACAAGGAAGUGUAUCUCCUGGAGAUAUUGAAUUAUGAGUUUUACCAUAAUUUCAAUUACCAAACCUAUGUAGCAAUAUUGCCUCUUGUAUUUGUAGAAGUGAGAAAUUACGACCUUUAAUGUUUAGGCUUUGAAAUUCUUGAUUUGUAGGUAACAUGUGUUCCUAUUUCAUACAAAGAAAACUUGUGAGUUUAGGAACAUGGUAGCUGGUUUGUGGCUUUAGCUUUUGCAGCAAUCAUUUUUGCCCUCAUCACAUUUAAUCUUGCUUCCAACCAUUAGCAUAUGUCAUUGACUUGCUGCAUCAUUGACCUAAAUUCAGAUUAUUAAGAGUGUUUCUAAAAAAAACAUGGUAUCUCUUCUUUCCCAUGCUCCUUUGAACCUUGGUAUUUCCCUAAGUUCUCAAACUUGUCUUUUGACAAUACUUUCUGCAUGCCUUAUUUCGUCUCACAAUCAUGUCUCUUUCAUGUGCUGACCUUUUGUUUAGCUUUGUACAAUUGGCAAAGUUGAUAGCUAGUUUUGAAAUCUUUUCUCACUUGCUUUGACAUUGAUUUGACUUAAAGACACAACAAAAAUGACUUUCUUUGAAUAUCUGACUCAAGAAAACACAAAUAAAAAUGUAAAGAAGAAAUAACAGACAAUGAAUGUCCAUAUUGAAACAGAGUAAAGCAAAAUUUAUCUAAAAACGACAGUCAAUUCUAAUGAUUAUGCCAUGCAUUUUUAAAUUAAGCUGCCUGAUCUUUCCACUCAAGUUUUCUACCAAUUGUUCUUGAGUUAAUGACACAAAAACUAUGUUACUUUCUUGGGCCAAUUAAAUUUAGUGACAUUAUUCGGCUAGUGGGGCCUUAGAUGGUUUUUUCCAACAAGCCUCUCUCAUUUUUUCUCACCCUUGUCUUACGAUGCCCAUGAGGGUUUUCACUAAUAAUACUCUCUUAUUUUUAUUUCUCUCAACUUAAAAUCUUUUUAUGGUGCCCGUGAGGGUUUUCACCUAUAAGACUCUUUCAUUUUUAUUUCUCCACUAAUUCCUUAUGACGAGGAAGACAAUAGUACCCAAAAUGCAUCAUCAUAUCCAUUGCAUGCUUAGCCUUAACAUUCUCAAAGAUUUAUCUGAAGGUCUUUCUGUGGUUGUAACUUUAUUUUUGGAUAGGAUUAAAAAAAAAGGAUGACAUGAGGCCCAAACGACACUUGAAGUGGGGUAGAACUUACAUUUUUUGGAAUUGACUCAAACAACAAAGAUUAGCUCGUGCCCCAUUUUUUUUGACUGAGCAAUUCUAAAUUAUUUAUUUGGUUUGAUCGUACCCAAGUAGGGCUGCCUACGUAUCUCACCCCCGAGAGAGUAGAAUCAUGUCACAUGUAGUUCCAACAAUUUGUUCUUUUGCUUGAUUCUGAUUUCUUAUUUUUUUUUCUUUUAUUGACUCUUUUUUGGACCUUUUCUAACUUUAUUUUUCUUGACGCUCUUUUUUUUUUUUUUGGACAUAUUUUGUUUUUUUUUCUUUUUGAAACUUUUCUGACUCUAUUAUUUUGCUCUAUACCUUUUCUUUUGAACUUUGCUGACUCUAUCUUAAUUCCUAAAGAGGGGUAUGGAAGAAAAUAGAACUAAAGCUCAAAUGAGGUAAACAAAGGAUAACACAAUAUUUGAAUGGAAGAAUGAAAUACCUUCGUCAUAUCAAUUCUUGAAAAUGCAACUACAUAUCAUGUAAUAUGACAGUGAAAGAUAAAGUUCAUUUGUGAUAUUUUUUACAGCACUAACUUUAACUGAGCAUGUGCGUCACUAUUUUUUCUGCGCUUUGUCUAGCAUACAACUUUACCUUUGUUGUACAUACCUUACAUCGAAUGACUCAUGAUUUUGUGGAGCUGAUUAUCUUUUGGUUUCUCUUGAUAUAGGAUUGUGCAUCCACUUCUUGACCUAAUUAAGAUAUGUAUUUCAAUUGAUGACCAUGUUAUUCUUGUGAUUCUUACCUUAAUUUAAAAAAAAGGCUUCAACUUGAUCACCAAAUGUCUCACACUCUACCUAUUUUAUCAGAUGCUCUUUUCUAAAUGAAACAUUCUAAUUCAAAGUUCAUGCUUAAACUAAAUUUUAAGAUCUAGUUGAAAAUUCUGCCAGCAUUCAUAUCACUAGAACCAACAUAAAAUAUACUGUGUAAAAAAAACAAACAAACAACACAUAUUAAACACAGGAAAAAAAGGUACACUCCAUUUAGUUGAAAUAAAAGAUAGUAGGGUUUGAACAUAGAUGAAAAAUGGACAAAAUAGGAUAGAUCCUGAACUACAACCCUAAAAUAAUUCAGAUAACAAAAAAAAAAGAAAACAAGCUACAGAAACCUUUCUUUGUAAGGAGAGGAGUGACUUUUCAAUUGCUGAGCAUAAUAUCUUAGCCAUUGGUUUGUACAUCAGCAUGACUAGAGCUUUCACCACUGUUAAUUUUCUGUACCAUAAUCAAUUUAUCUUGAAUCAUCUUUUCUAUUUCUUUUUUCAAAGCACGACAAUCUUCAAUACUAUAACCCUGAACAUUAAAAUGACAUACACAUCGUACAUUAGGAUCAAAACUUCUUAAAUACGGGUCAUGAGUAUACCCAAGGAAAUGAAUAAUCAUGCCCUGCUGUACCAAUCUCUAGAAUAAACUGGCAUAUGACUCUCUAAUUGGUGUGAAGCUAUCCCUCGACUUCUGACUCAUUUCAUUAUUUAACUUGAUUGAAAAUCAUGCCUAGAAGGGCUUUGGUAUAUUUAUGGAGUUAGAGGAUAACUCUGAAGAGUUGGUGUGUGCCAUUGUGGGUAAGAUGUGGGUUGAACAUGUGGUUGUGCAUUAUAUACUGGAUAUGGAGGUGGGGAAUAAAGUAUAAUGGAUUUUGGGAGUGAUUAUGUGGAGCUUGGGCAUGAACUUGGGCUUGAGCCUGAGAGUAAUGACGACAUAGUCUUCUUGAUCGUGCCCAUUAUCCAAUUAAAAUAACAGAUGCAUCUUUCUUAUUCUUUUUCCCUCUAACACUUUCUAAACCCUUUUGAAUUGCUUGAGUAGUCUCUUUCAAUGUUGCAAAACUCUCAAUGCGCCCAGUCUUAAUUCUAUCUUCUAUCAUCUCUUCUAUUUUGAGGACCUCAAUAAAUGACUUGCCUAAUGCAGGUAACAAGUGUUGAUAAUAUGUUUCAUUUUGUGCUUGAAUAAACACCUCCACUAUCUUACUUUUUUACAUUGGCGGUUUCACCCUAGCAACUUGUUCACGCCAUCUAAUCACAUUCUCCCUGAAAUUUUCUAUAAUCUUAUUCUUCAUAUUAGUUAGGGAUUUCUCAUCAAGAAUCAACUCCACAUUAUAUUUGAAUUAUUGCACGAAUUCAUUAUCUAGGUCAUCCCAACUAUUUCACUUAUCUAUGUCUUUGUCAACAAACUAUUUUGAAGCUAGACCUGAAAGUCUCACCGAAAUAAGCCAUGAGUAAUUCUUCCUUCCCUCCAACGCCUCUUAGUUAGUUAUAAUAAUAUAUCAAAUGUGCUACGAGAUCACCAUGUCCAUCAUACUUUUCAAAAUUCGGCAUUUUAAAACCAGAAGGAAGGUUAACACAUGGAAACAUGCACAGAUUUUUAUAUGAGAUACUUUUAUAACCCCUAAGUCUUUACAAGUUCUUCACAGCCAGUUCCAAACUUCUCAAUUUUUCUGGUCAUUUUCUCUUGUUCUUCUGUCAUAACAGACUUCUUAGUGUUAAGAAGAAAUUCAGGCAGGUGAAUAAAGCCGUUAGGACCAGUCAACUUAAAAGUAGGGUCGGGAGCGUAAUGCUAAGCAGCAAAAAUAUUCAACACAGGCUCUCUUAUAGAGUAGGGAGGGCACAACCGUUGGAUAGACAUUAAAAGCAUAAACUUUAGGUGGGGGUGGCACCACAAAAACAUGAAUAGCAGGUGGAUCCGAGUAUGUGGAGGUUCUAUAUUGAGGAGUGAGGAAAUGAAUAUUAGAAGUGUUUGGAUAUUGUUGCCCCGGAGUAGAUCCUGAUGCAUAUUAUAGCGUGUCAACAAAAUAGGGAAUGGUACAUAUGACACUGGAGGCAGGCUAGAAAGAUAUUCUAUAUUAUUAGUGGGAAAUAGAGAAGGCAGUAACCCAUUGGCCCAAGCUCGAUGCAUAUUUUUAAUUUGCUGCCUUAAUUUUCGAAUCUUUUCAUUAGCUCCUAAAUUUUUAUUGUACGAACUCUCCAUAUGAUUAGUGACAACAACCUCGGUAUCCUUGUUUGUCAUAACUUUCUCUUUGGCUUGGUGCAAUAUGGAGGACCAACAAAAUGCCACAAACCAACCACCUUAAACUAACUGAACAAAGGAUAACAAAAUGUGUUAAAGUUCAAUAUUUCUUCAAAUCUUUGUCUUUCUUUUAGAAAAGAUCACCGAACCUCAUCCCAGUAAGAGGAGAAUCAGGUUUGCAUAGUUCAUGAAGUUUUGGCACAACAUGACCAAUCAAACUCUCUUUCUUUAUCUUUUUUUUUCUUGAAACUUUAUGAAGAAAAAAAAAACAAAUUGUCAAAAGAAUUAACGAAAAUCUUUUUGAAUUUUUUUAGCUUUAAAAUCCCUAUACAAAUAAAACUUAUGAUUACCCAAAAAAAUCUUUUUGGAUUUUUUAUUUGAAUUUCAUAUGAAAAUGAAACUUGAAACUAUUAAAGGAAAAUCUUUUUGUAGUUUUCUUUAAAAGAUGUAUAUGAAACACCUACUCUAAUUGAAGAGUGAAGAAAAUCUUUUUGAAUUUCUUAAAUAAGAUCACCGAACCCACGAAGGGCAGCCUACGUAUCUCACUCCUGAGAGAGGAGAAUCAGGUGUGUGUAAUUUGUACAAAUUAGAAAAUUAAGAAUUAAAUAACAAACUAAACCUUGACUUAAGAUAUAGGACCAAAGACAACCAAUGGAAAAUGUCAAUAAAAUCUUUUUUUGGGUUAUAUAUUUGACACUUCACAUAAAAAAUAACACCAACAACUACAAACAAAAAAUCUUUUUGGUAUUUUUGUUAUAUGAAAUGUACAAAACUUCUACCAUCUUUUUUGAAAAUUUUGAAUUAUGAAUGCUUGGUAAAUAGAACAAAAGAAAAUUAUUUUGACAUUUUUGCUUUUGAAAGAUGAGUGUAAAAGGUAAAAAUCUUUUUGAAUUUUAAGAUUGCGGGAAACAAAAGUCAUAAAGAACUAUAAAAACUACAAAACUCUCUACUCACUUUUUUUCCCUUUUUCAAAGGCAUAAACACACGAUUACCUCAAAUCAGUCCGUCAAAUGACCCUAUUACCCUCAAAGAUGCAACAAUUAGCAUAUAGGAAUGCUUUAGAGGUGAGUCUCCUACAAAGGACCAAAUGGGUCCUACUAGGUCUCAAUAUGAUGCAGAUUAGCAUGAUCUAAAGACUAACCUAGGCUAGGGUCCACUAACAAGGUUGUUUGGGGGAAUAUAUGGUCGAUAGUGGCUGCGAUUGCUUUCCACCUACUCCAUACAUACGACGGCUCCCCUCCUAAAAUAGGGGUGAAUCAACUAGAGUUUGUGUACACGACAUGUACUCCCGAACUUAUUGCGAAAGAAAUGACUUAGGAUAAUAUAUAGAUGAUGCUAGACAUAUAGCGAUAACACAUAAAAAAAACUGUAAAUAAAGAGCACGUAGGCAUCAAACACUGAUAUAACAAUAAUAGAAACAAAAUAUUUAUACACCUAUAGUAUCAAACUAAGCUGAUACAUCUAAAAAAUAAGCUCGAAUUCUGAAAAAUUUCCAGCUGAGUCGCUAGAGCUGUCACACCCUUUUUUACGAAAAAAUUAUAUUGAGUUCAAAAAAGAUUUUAUUAUUAAGUGACAAACGAAAAUAAUUUAUUUUAAAAAAAUAUUUACAUUCAAACUUAGAGUCGCCACUGACAUAAAUCUGGUGUGCCAAGUCACCUUUUAAAAUCCUUUUUCAAAAUAAUUUUGACUCUUUCAAAACUGGUCCAUGAAUAGAGAUUUCAGUUUGGAAUUUCUGUUGACCGAGGGAAAGAUGUUAGGCACCCCUCGAUCUCGUGGUUCAACCACAGUCGCUUCGUAGAGUAUAUCGGCUAGUUCGAUACUAUAAAAUGUAUAAACCAAACAAAACACACAGCACACAAGAAACACACAAUCAAAUAGUCAAAAGUCCAAAAUAGUGUCUAGUCCAAUUAUUACAGUCUGAAAUAAAAGAUACUAAAAUAAACCUACGCUAACCUAUACUAUUACUUACUAUGCUCUACCCAAUGCCUCGGGCUUUGAUCGCGAAUGUCCUUCGCGUACAUGAUACUUGGGGGCAUACCUAGGUGAAUUAGUACAAAUGACCCCAGGGCAUUCUAGGCUAAAUGAAUAGAUUUCCAUUUUCAAGUGACAAAGUGAAACAAUCUCAAGCACAAACAUUCAAUCAUUCCACAAUCAUAAAUUUCUACAAUUUACCUACCCAACUUAGUAUUUGCCUACCAAUUUGACGGCCUAAUCAUGAUACUAUUGUGUUCAACAACAUUCAAUGUCCAUUUCAAACUGUUGUGUUCUACAACAUUCAAUGUCCAUUUCAAACCAAUCAACGAUUCAAUGAAUUAAAUUAAUCAAUAUUCACCCUUUUUUAUUAAUUUU